Molecule: ribosomal RNA, 481 nt
Filed under: Microdytes sp. 1 ND-2020
Lineage: Eukaryota; Metazoa; Arthropoda; Insecta; Coleoptera; Dytiscidae
Description: partial large subunit ribosomal RNA
Rfam family: Bacterial large subunit ribosomal RNA (bases 358-481)
Source: RNAcentral
UCUAAUCUGCCCACUGAAGUAGUUAAAUGGCCGCAGUAAUUUGACUGUGCAAAGGUAGCAUAAUCAAUAGUUUUUUAAUUAAAAGCUUGAAUGAAUGAUUGGACGAGAUAAAAUCUGUCUCUUAAUAAAAAUUAGAAUUUAAUUUUUAAGUUAAAAAGCUUAAAUUUAAAUAAAAGACGAGAAGACCAUAUAGAUUUUUAUUUAAUUAAUAUAUAAAAUAUAAUGAUUAUUUAAUUUUAUAUAAAAUUUUAAAUUUUAUUGGGGUAAUAUAAAGAUUUAAAAAAUUCUUUAAAAAUUUUUCAUAAAUUAAUGUAUUUUUGAUCCAUUAUAAUGAUUAUAAGAUUAAGUUACCUUAGGGAUAACAGCGUAAUUUUUUUGGAGAGUUCUUAUUGAUAAAAAAGUUUGCGACCUCGAUGUUGGAUUAAAAUUAGUUUUAAAUGCAGAAGUUUAAAAUUUUAGUCUGUUCGACUAUUAAAUUUUU